RNAcentral lists this transfer RNA (23 nucleotides) under Crocidura palawanensis (Palawan shrew). RNAcentral's name for it is "partial tRNA-Met". The record is from RNAcentral. Lineage: Eukaryota; Metazoa; Chordata; Mammalia; Eulipotyphla; Soricidae.
UCGGUUAAUACCUUCCCCUACUA